GGCCCAGACUCCUACGGGAGGCAGCAGUGGGGAAUAUUGCACAAUGGGCGAAAGCCUGAUGCAGCGACGCCGCGUGAGGGAUGACGGCCUUCGGGUUGUAAACCUCUUUCAGCAGGGACGAAGCGAAAGUGACGGUACCUGCAGAAGAAGCACCGGCCAACUACGUGCCAGCAGCCGCGGUAAUACGUAGGGUGCAAGCGUUGUCCGGAAUUAUUGGGCGUAAAGAGCUCGUAGGCGGCUUGUCGCGUCGGCUGUGAAAACCUGGGGCUCAACCCCGGGCCUGCAGCCGAUACGGGCAAGCUAGAAUUCGGUAGGGGAGACUGGAAUUCCUGGUGUAGCGGUGAAAUGCGCAGAUAUCAGGAGGAACACCGGUGGCGAAGGCGGGUCUCUGGGCCGAUAUUGACGCUGAGGAGCGAAAGCGUGGGGAGCAAACAGGAUUAGAUACCCUGGUAGUCCACGCCGUAAACGUUGGGCGCUAGGUGUGGGCCACAUUCCACGUGGUCUGUGCCGCAGCUAACGCAUUAAGCGCCCCGCCUGGGGAGUACGGCCGCAAGGCUAAAACUCAAAGGAAUGA
This 574-nucleotide ribosomal RNA is filed under the name uncultured bacterium. RNAcentral's name for it is "bacterial SSU rRNA". It matches the Rfam family "Bacterial small subunit ribosomal RNA", at positions 328 to 912 of the family's 1533-position model. The record is from RNAcentral.